RNAcentral lists this ribosomal RNA (367 nucleotides) under uncultured organism. RNAcentral describes it as "bacterial SSU rRNA". It matches the Rfam family "Bacterial small subunit ribosomal RNA", at positions 526 to 896 of the family's 1533-position model. The record is from RNAcentral.
CGGAGGGUGCAAGCGUUGUCCGGAUUUAUGGGUUUAAAGGGUGCGUAGGCGGCCCCUUAAGUCAGUGGUGAAAGCCCGCGGCUCAACCGCGGAACUGCCAUUGAUACUGGGGGGCUUGAGUACAGACGAGGUAGGCGGAAUUGAAGAUGUAGCGGUGAAAUGCUUAGAUAUCUUCAAGAACACCGAUUGCGUAGGCAGCUUACUAGGCUGUAACUGACGCUGAGGCACGAAAGCGUGGGAGCGAACAGGAUUAGAUACCCUGGUAGUCCACGCCGUAAACGAUGAUUACUCGAUGUCGGCGAUAGACCGUCGGCGUCUUAGCGUAAAGCGUUAAGUAAUCCACCUGGGGAGUACGCCCGCAAGGGUG